Small nuclear RNA from Suricata suricatta (meerkat), 110 nucleotides. NCBI's taxonomy places the organism in Eukaryota, Metazoa, Chordata, Mammalia, Carnivora, Herpestidae. The record is from Ensembl.
UUGCUCGCUUCAGUAGCUCAUAUACUGAAACAUUGAAACAAAAACAGAGAAGAUUAGCACGGCCCCUGUGCAAGGAGGACCUGCAAAUUUGUGAAGCAUUCCAUAUUUAA